Molecule: ribosomal RNA, 497 nt
Filed under: uncultured bacterium
Lineage: Bacteria
Description: partial 16S ribosomal RNA
Rfam family: Bacterial small subunit ribosomal RNA
Source: RNAcentral
GAUGAACGCUGGCGGCGUGCCUAAUACAUGCAAGUCGAGCGAACAGACGAGGAGCUUGCUCCUCUGACGUUAGCGGCGGACGGGUGAGUAACACGUGGAUAACCUACCUAUAAGACUGGGAUAACUUCGGGAAACCGGAGCUAAUACCGGAUAACAUGUUGAACCGCAUGGUUCAACAGUGAAAGACGGUUUUGCUGUCACUUAUAGAAGGAUCCGCGUCGCAUUAGCUAGUUGGUAAGGUAACGGCUUACCAAGGCAACGAUGCGUAGCCGACCUGAGAGGGUGAUCGGCCACACUGGAACUGAGACACGGUCCAGACUCCUACGGGAGGCAGCAGUAGGGAAUCUUCCGCAAUGGGCGAAAGCCUGACGGAGCAACGCCGCGUGAGUGAAGAAGGUCUUCGGAUCGUAAAACUCUGUUAUUAGGGAAGAACAAAUGUGUAAGUAACUAUGCACGUCUUGACGGUACCUAAUCAGAAAGCCACGGCUAACUACGUG